CCGAGCGGCUGGAGACUGGAGUGUCUCUGACGGAGGUUGCGGCUGGACCUGGUUACGUGCUGGUGCUGUGCUCCAGAGCGGCAGAAAGCGAGUGGGAGCUGAGGUGUCUUGAAGCCGGUCCCUCAGCCUGGGAGAAGAUCUGUGGCUUCAGGAUGGGGGUCAGGGGGUCGUUCCUGGCGGCCUGCGGGAGACGCAUGGCUACCUGGAGGAAGAAUCGUGACAAGGAUGGCUUCUCAAAUUCCGGGUACCGAGUCCGGCAGAAGGAUCUGGGCAUGAUCCACAAAGCUGCCAUCGCCGGUGAUGUGAACAAGCUGCUGGAGAGCAUCUUGCUCGGGCUGAAUGACGUGAAUGACAGGGACAAGAAGAACAGGACUGCUCUACAUUUGGCGUGUGCCCAUGGCCGUCCGGGAGUGGUAGCUGACUUGGUGGCCAGAAAAUGCCGGCUUAACCUCACUGACAGUGAAAACAGGACAGCUCUGAUCAAGGCUGUACAAUGUCAAGAAGCAGUUUGUGCAUCCAUCCUGCUGGAACAUGGCGCCGACCCAAAUGUUAGAGAUAUGUAUGGCAACACGGCUCUGCACUAUGCCAUUGAUAAUGAGAAUAUAUCAAUGGCAGGAAAACUGCUUGCAUAUGGUGCAGAUAUUGAAGCAAGAAGCCAGGGUGGACAUACAUCACUUUUACUCGCUGUAAAUAGGAAAAAAGAGGAAAUGGUGGCAUUUUUGUUGAAGAAAAAACCAGAUUUAACUGCAAUAGAUAAUUUUGGAAGAACAGCCCUCAUACUUGCUGCUCGUAACGGAUCAACAAGUGUAGUCUACCAGCUUCUUCAGCACAAUAUUGACGUCUUUUGCCAAGAUAUAUCUGGAUGGACUGCAGAAGACUACGCUGCUGCUUCUAAGUUUCAAGCCAUUCGUGGACUAAUUUCUGAAUAUAAAGCAAACAAGAGACGUAAAAGUCUUCAAAAUAGUGAUCCAGAACAAGACUUAGAAAUGACAUCAGAGGGAGAGCAAGAAAGGCUUGAAGGAUGUGAAAGUAGCCAGCCCCAGGUUGAAGAAAAAAUGAAGAAAUGCAGAAAUAAGAAAAUGGAAGUGUCAAGAAACGUACAUGCUGAUGACAGUGACAAUUAUAAUGAUGAUGUUGAUGAAUUAAUUCACAAAAUAAAGAACAGAAAACCUGAUAGUCAUCAGUUUCCCAGGAAGGAGAAUGACAAGUUUGAUAGGCUUGCAAGGAAAACCUCUAAUGAAAAGAGCAAGGUUAAAAGCCAAAUAUAUUUCAGGGAUGAUCUUAAUGACAUAACUGGGUCAUCUGAAAAAACCUCAGAGGAUGAUGAGUUGCCUUACUCUGAUGAUAAGAAUUUUAUGUUACUCAUUGAACAAAGUGAAAAGGAGUGUAAAGAUUUUGUUAGCCUAUUGAAAAUCAAGAAUGCAACAGCUGCAUGUGAAGGAUCAAUAGAGGAUAAAAAAGGUUACUGUGAACAACUUAAAGUAAAAUUUCAAAAAAUGAAAAAUAAUAUUAGCAUACUACAAAAGGUACUAUCUGAAACAGACAAAACCAAAUCACAGUUAGAGCAUCAGAAUCUUGAAAGGAAAAAAAAGCUCUGUAAUUUGAGAUUCAUCUUACAACAACAAGAAGAAGAAAGAAUAAAGGCUGAAGAGUUGUAUGAAAAGGAUACAGAAGAGUUAAAAAUAAUGGAAGAGCAGUAUAGGACACAAACUGAAGUGAAAAAACAACUUAAACUGACUCUCAAAUCAUUGGAAGUGGCAUUGAAGACCGUAAGAAGUAACUCAAAUCAGAAUUCUCAUACUCAUGAAAAAGAAAGAGACCCGUGGCAGGAAAAUCACUUGAUGCGGGAUGAAAUUGCCAGACUCAGGCUGGAAAUAGACACAAUAAAACAUCAGAACCAGGAAACUGAAAAUAAAUAUUUCAAAGAUAUUGAAAUUAUAAAGGAAAACAAUGAAGACCUUGAAAAGACUCUAAAGUUGAAUGAGGAAACAUUAACAAAAACGAUAACCCGGUAUAGUAAAGAGCUUAAUGUUCUGAUGGAUGAGAAUACAAUGCUCAAUUUUGAGCUAGAGAAGGAAAAACAAAGCACGCCAAGACUGGAAACAGAAAUGGAAUCAUACCGUUGUAGACUGGCUGCAGCCCUAUGUGAUCAUGAUCAAUGUCAGUCAUCAAAAAGAGACCUACAGCUUGGUUUCCAGAGCACAGUGAAUGAAUGGUGUCAUUUACAAGAAAAUACUAAUUCUCACAUUCAGAUUCUUUCUCAGCAACUUUCUGAAGCUGAGAGUACAUCCAGUGGCCUGGAAACUGAGCUCCGUUAUGAAAGAGAGGCUCUCAAAGAAAAGACGUUGGAUAUAGAACACAUGCAAGGAGUCCUAAGCCGAACACAGUGUCGAUUGAAGGACAUUGAACACAUGUACCAAAAUGACCAACCUAUUUUGGAAAAAUACGUGAGAAAGCAGCAAUCUGUAGAGGAUGGACUAUUUCAACUACAAAGCCAAAAUCUGUUGUAUCAACAGCAAUGUAAUGAUGCUCACAAGAAAGCUGACAAUCAGGAAAAAACAAUAAUUAAUAUCCAAGUCAAAUGUGAAGAUACUAUAGAAAAACUUCAAGCUGAGUGUAGAAAGCUAGAAGAGAACAAUAAGGUGUUGAUGAAGGAAUGCACUCUUUUAAAAGAAAGACAAUGCCAAUAUGAAAAAGAGAAAGAAGAAAGAGAAGUAGUCGUGAGACAGCUUCAACGAGAAGUGGAUGAUGCCCUGAACAAACAAUUGCUGUCAGAAGCUAUGCUAGAGAUUUCAUCACAAAGUCGUGUUAAUUUAGAAGAUGAGAUGCGAAGUUCAAAGAGGAAAUUAGGCCAGAUCAGAAGUCAAGCUUAAAAUAGGAAAUGCCAUGUUAAAAAUUAGAAUGAAAAACCGAGUGGACAAAAUUGAGCAGCUUCAGAAAAUUUUGAUGCAGCAGGUAUACAAGGAAACAUAACUGCAGAAGUAGAUGAAGAGUUACUGAGCAUUUCUGUGUCAUCUACAUGCCAUGAAAGUCUUAAAGUCAAUUGUCAAUUUCUACAAAAUACCUGCUUGGAUUUGGACUGUGAUUGCGUUAUGUCAUGAGAAAGAAUGAACAUCUUAACAAUGAUGAGUCUCUCAACUCGUGAAUAAGGUAUUUUCUUAGAUCUUUGAUUUUUCUCAAAUGAUACUUUUUAGUUAUCAUCGUACAGAUAUUUUGCAUAGUGUCAGAUAUAUUCCCAAGAAUUUUAUAUUUUAAUGCUGUUAUAAAUAGUAUUAUUUUUAAAAUUUCAAUUCCUAGCAGUUUAUUUCUAACAUAUAGAAUUACAAUUGAUUUUUAUAUAUUGAUCAUGUAUCCUGCAAUCAGGAUAUUGAUCAUUGGUGCCAGUAACAUAAUUGUUAUGUUUUAUAUAUUGAUCAUUGGUGCCAGUAACAUAAUUGGUUUCACUUGGUUUUCCACAUAGAUGAUUAUGUCUGUGAAUAAAGAUAGUUUUACCUAUUUCUUUUCAGUCUAGAUGCCUUUUGUUUUCCUCCAUUUCUUCCUUCCUCCCUUCUUUAUUCCUUUUUUUCUUCCUUCCUUCCUUUCUUCCCUCUCCCAACUCCCUUUUAAAAAGUGAUUACAGUGGCUUGAAUUUGCACUACAGUGUUGAAUAGAAGUGGUAAGAGCUGACAUGCCUUCUCGAUCUUAGGGGAAAGUAUUCAGUCUUUCAUCAUUACAUAGAAUGUUAGCAUUAGGUUUUUUAAAGAUGCCCUUUGACAUGUCGAGGAAAUUCUCUUUUAUCUCCAGUUUGCUGAGACUUUUUCUUUAAUGAAAAAUGUUCAAUUUUCUCAAAUGCUUUUUCUGCAUCUAAUACAUAAUCAUAUGGUUUUUAUGUUGUUAAUAUAAUUAUAAGAUUAAUUGAUUUGGGGGAGAAGGUUAAGUUGAUAUUUAAUUUAAAAUAAUUUUUAAAUGUAGUUUUUUCUUGAAUUUUUUAGUUCAAAUCUUGUAUUCUGUUUAAAAUGCUCUAAACUUUGUCAAUUCUUUUUGAAAGUUCUGGUGAAAUAUACAUAACAUAAAAUUUAGCAUUUUAACAAUUUUUAACUCCAUAGUUCAGUGGCAUUAAAUAUAUUCACAAUGUCAUACAACAAUCAGUAUUAUCCAUUUCUAGAAUUUUUUCAUCAUCCCUAAUAGAAACUCUGUACCCAUUAAAUAUCUUCCCAUAAUCCUUCCUUCAUCCCUAGUAACCUGUAUUCUACUUUCUGUCUCUAUGAAUUUACCUAUGCUGGGUAUGUUAUAUAAGUGAAAUCAUAAAACAUCGGCUUUUUGUGUCUGGGUUAUUUCACUUAGCAUAAUGUUUUCAAGGCUCAUCUAUAUCAUACAUCAUGUAUCAGUAGUUUAUUUCCUCUUAUUUGCAAUUAAUUUUCUAUUGCAGAGAAAUACCACAUUUUAUUUAACAGUUGAUGGACAUUUGGAUUGUUUCCAGGUUUUAACUGUUACGAAUAAUGUACUGUGGACACAUAUGUGGACAUAUGUUCCUCUUGGGUAAAUACUCAAGUGGGAAUCGAGGUCAAAUGGUAACUGUGUUUAAUCUCAAGGAACUGUCAGGCUGUUAUUCAACACAGCUGUACAAUUUUACAUUUCCACCAGCAGUGUAUGAGGGUUCCAAUUUGUCCACAUCUUUUCCAGUAUUUAUUUUUCAUCUUUUUUAUUAUAGGCAUUCUAGUGGUGUGAAGUGGUACCUCAUUGUGGUUUUGAUUUGCCUUUCCCUUUGAUUUUGACCAUCCUUUCAUGUGGUUACUGGCCAUUGUCUAUGUUCUUAGAUGAAAAACCUGGUCGUUAUCCUUUGACCAUGUUUUAAUUGAUUGCCUUUUUGUUGUUGAUUUGUAAGAGUUCUUUAUAUAUUCUGAACAAGAAUGUUUUUUUUUUACACUUUUUUCAUAAACUUUGUACUAAAUCUUGUAUUCUUUAUUGUUUCUGUGUUUUAAAAUUUUGUUUUAUCAGCCUCUUUUCUCAAGAAUUUACCAUAUAUAUUAGUAUCAUAUUUCUGUAUUCCAGUCUUGUUUUCAUGAUUUGCUUCCU
RNA transcript from Pongo pygmaeus (Bornean orangutan), 5055 nucleotides. It is a transcript of the gene named ankyrin repeat domain 62, with no coding region annotated. The record is from RefSeq and is a predicted model, not a curated record. The transcript has 17 exons. Lineage: Eukaryota; Metazoa; Chordata; Mammalia; Primates; Hominidae.